RNAcentral lists this long non-coding RNA (11099 nucleotides) under Solanum tuberosum (potato). RNAcentral describes it as "long non-coding RNA (STUB_LNC000380)". Lineage: Eukaryota; Viridiplantae; Streptophyta; Magnoliopsida; Solanales; Solanaceae. The record is from RNAcentral.
UUUAAUGGUAGGGUAAACACGUUGAAUAUUACAAAUUCUAUUGUAAUUGGUACACUCUAUGCUUUUCCGUUUUCAUCCCUCCUUUCUUGAAAAUCUUGAUCUUAGCAUGAACAAUUUCUCGGGAACCAUUCCACCUGAGAUUGGUAUUCUCACUAAUCUCGUCUUUCUUAACUUGAAAAUCAAUCAGUUUUCAGGAACAAUCCCACAGCAAAUCGGUUCACUAGCCAAGCUUCAGACCCUCCGUAUAUUUGACAACCAUUUAAAUGGCUCUAUUCCUGAAGAAAUAGGUUACCUAAGGUCUCUUACUAAGCUAUCUUUGCGUAGGAACUUUCUUACUGGUUCUAUUCCUGCUUCAUUGGGGAAUUUGAACAACUUGUCUUUUUUGCUUCUUCAUGAAAAUCAACUUUCUGGCUCUAUUCCUGAAGAAAUAGGUUACCUAAGGUCUCUUACUAAGCUAUCUUUGGCUAUGAAUUCUCUUAAUGGCUCUAUUCCUGCUUCAUUGGGGAAUUUGAGCAACUUGUCUGUUGUGGAUCUUUCUGAUAAUCACUUUUCUGGCUCUAUUCCUGAAGAAAUAGGUUACUUGAGGUCUCUUACUGACCUAUAUUUGGGUAAUAACUCUCUUAAUGGAUCUAUUCCUGCUUCAUUGGGGAAUUUGAGCAACUUGUCUUUUUUGUAUCUUUCUGAUAAUCACUUUUCUGGCUCUAUUCCUCUAGAGAUAGGUUACUUGAGGUCUCUUACUUAUCUAUAUUUGGGUAAUAACUCUCUUAAUGGAUCUAUUCCUGCUUCAUUGGGGAAUUUGAACAACGUGUCUUUUUUGUUUCUUUAUGAAAAUCAACUUUCUGGCUCUAUUCCUGAAGAAAUAGGUUACCUAACGUCUCUUAGUAUCCUACAUUUGAGUAAUAACUCUCUUAAUGGCUCUAUUCCUGCUUCAUUGGGGAAUUUAAGAAAUCUGAACAACUUGUCUGUUUUGUAUCUUAAUAAUAAGCAGCUUAUGAUGUUGGAUUUGAUUUUUAGUUUAUAAGCUUUUCUUAACUUGGGAAAAUGUAAUAUUAUGAAUUUUGAUGAUAUACAAUAAAUGCACCCUUGUGGUCCGGCCCUUCUCUUAGCCUUUUAUUAUACAAACAGGCUUACUCAAAGUAAACUGUUUUUGUCAUUUGCAUUCAUCAAUAAUGUUCCUUGUUGUGCUCGUAGCACUUUGAAACUUUCCUUUGCCAAUUGCAAUAAUGUUAGUUUGAAACAUUUGUGUGUUCUAUUUCCAGAUACAGGGGGGGUAUACUAGAUAGAUCAAAGUGGGAUAAUCUAUAGGAAACAGCACUGGCAAGACAGAAUCUUGUAAAAUGAUCCUAACAACAGGGAAGCUCCGUCUAAUCUAUUCAAGGUAGCUGAUAAUUCAAACGAUGCACUUAAUAGCUCAACCAACUCUGGAACAAACGGUGCACGAAAUGGCUGCUAUGGCUCAUUACCAUGGCUAUGGUGUUCUCAUGCAACAACAGGUUGCCAAUAUGACUCAAUCACAACAACCGUUACAACACGAAGCCUUGAUGAUGCAGCAACAAAUGGCUAUUAUGCCUCUGCAACAGCAAACUGCUUCUAUGACUCAACAUAAUGAAGGAGAGAUUCAAGAAGAAGAUAUAGCUGGAGAUUUUAAUAUCUGCAAAAAUAUCCUAAUCUAUCUCUAAUGAAAAACUAUUAUCUCAUAUUUUAAAAGUUUCAUUCGGAAAAAGUUCACAUCACCAUUAUCUAUCGAAAAUAUAACUUGAAUUGGCUGAGUGACUUCAUACGUGAAAUGACAAUAAAUAAGUGACUUUUUUGUUACAAGACAAAGAAAAAUGACUUUCUGAAUAGUUGAGUGAGAACAUGUGCGCAAGCAACGCUUGACAUUUGCUAUAUGAAUUGAAGAUAAUGAAGCUAGAAAUUUAUUGAUUGACUGAGAAUUAUUGGAUAUGGUUAACUACUUUAGAAAUAAAAAUUAAGAACCAGACGUGUCUGCGUAAUACAUUAAAAGUGGUCAUAAUCGAUGUUUGAUUAAGUCCUUGGUUGAAUUAGAGGUUAUGACAUUAAAAGUGGUCAUAAUCAAUGCCUAAUUAAGUCCUUGGUUGAAUUAUAGGUGUAACACAAAACAACCCAAAGUUUGACUUAAAGGUGACAACAUUUUCUCUAAUAGCAGCCAAAUUUGGAAAUUUGGAGAAAACGCGUUUCCUGUUGGUCUUUUAUUAGUAUAAGUACGUACAAUAUCAAAUCUAUGAACCCGAAACAAUAAACUCAAAAUAUGAUUGAUGGUUUCUAGCUAAAACAUUCUCUUCACUUCAGUUUUUCACUCUAUUCUACCUCUUUACGGUUGCAUUUGCUUCCACUGAGGAAACAACUGCCCUCUUAAAAAUGGAAAAGCAACUUUCAAGAACCAGAAUAAUUCCUUAUUGGCUUCAUGGAUGCCAAGUUCUAAUGCAUGCAGGGACUGGUAUGGAGUUAUAUGCUUUAAUGGUAGAGUAAACACGUUGAAUAUUACAAAUUCCAGUGUCAUUGGUACACUCUAUGCUUUUCCGUAUUCAUCUCUCCCUUUUCUUGAGAAUCUUAAUCUUAGCAUGAACAAUUUCUCGGGCACCAUUCCACCUGAGAUUGGAAAUCUCACUAAUCUUGUUUAUCUUGACUUGAACAUCAAUCAGAAUUCAGGAACAAUCCCACCACAAAUCGGUUCACCAGGCAAGCUUCGGAUCCUCCAUAUAUUUGACAACCAUUUAAAUGGCUCUAUUCCUGAAGCAAUAGGUUACCUAACGUCUCUUACUAAGCUAUCUUUGGGUAUGAACUUUCUUACUGGUUCCAUUCCAGCUUCAUUGGGGAAUUUGAACAACUUGUCUUUUUUGUUUCUUUAUGAAAAUCAACUUUCUGGCUCUAUUCCUGAAGAAAUAGGUUACCUAACGUCUCUUAGUAUCCUACAUUUGAGUAAUAACUCUCUUAAUGGCUCUAUUCCUGCUUCAUUGGGAAAUUUGGGCAACUUGUCAGAUUUGUAUCUUUAUAAUAAUCAGCUUUCUGGCUCUAUUCCUGCUUCAUUCGGGAAUCUGAACAACUUGUCUAGUUUGUAUCUUUAUAAUAAUCAGUCUUUCUGGCUCUAUUCCUGAAGAAAUAGGUCGCUUGGGUCUCUUACUUAUCUAUAUUUGGCUAAUAACUCUCUUAAUGGCUCUAUUCCUCCUUCAUUGAGGAAUUUGAGAAAUCUGAGAAAUAUGAUUCUCAAUGAUAACAAUCUCACUGGGGAAAUUACUUCAUUUGUGUGCAAUUUGACAUCACUGGAAGUGUUGUAUAUGCCGAGAAACAAUUUGAAGGAAAAGUUCCGCAAUGUUUGGGCAAUAUCAGCGGCCUCCAGGUUCUAGUGAUGUCACAUAAUAAUCUCAGUGGAGAGAUCCCGUCAUCUAUUUCCAAUUUAAUAUCACUACAAAUUCUAGAUUUGGGCAGUAACAAUCUGGAGGGAGCAAUUCCACAAUGUUUUGGCAAUAUUAGUAAUCUCCAGGUUUUUGAUAUGCAGAAUAACAAACUUUCUGGGAGCCUUCCAACAAAUUUUAGCAUUGUAAAUUCACUUAUAAAUCUCAACUUGCAUGGCAAUGAACUAGAGGGGGAAAUCCCUCGGUCUUUGGCCAAUUGCAAAAAGCUGCAAGUUCUUGAUCUUGGAGAUAAUCAUCUCAAUGACACAUUCCCCAUGUGGUUGGGAACUUUGCCAGAGCUGAGAGUUUUAAGGUUGACAUCGAAUAAAUUGCAUGGACCUAUAAGACCUUCAGGGGCUGAAAGCAUGUUUCCUAAUCUUCAAAUCAUAGAUCUCUCUUACAAUGCCUUCUCGAAAGACUUACCAACGAGUCUGUUUCAAAAUUUGAAAGGCAUGAGAACAAUUGAUCAAACCAUGGACAAACCAAGUUAUGAAGGAGAUGGAUAUUACCAAAACUUGGUAGUUGUUGUAUCAAAGGGAUUGAAGCUUGAAGUUGUGAGAAUUUUGUCUUUGUACACAGUUAUUGAUCUUUCAAACAACAAAUUUGAAGGAUAUAUUCCUGGUGUUCUGGGAGAUCUCAUUGUGAUUCGGGUACUGAAUUUAUCUCAUAAUGGAUUGCAAGGUCCUAUACCACCAUCACUUGGAAGCUUAUCUGUAGUGGAAUCACUGGACCUUUCGUUUAACCAUCUUUCGGGAGAGAUACCACAACAACUUGCUUCUCUUACGUAUCUUGGAUUCUUAAAUCUCUCUCACAAUUAUCUCCAAGGAUGCAUCCCUCAAGGACCUCAAUUGCGUACCUUUGAGAACAAUUCAUAUGAAGGUAAUGAUGGCUUAUGUGGAUUCCCCGUUUCGAAAGGUUGUGGCAAUGAUCCUGUGUCAGAGACAAAUUAUACUGUGUCUGCGCUAGACAAUCAAGAAAGCAAUUCUGAAUUUCUCAAUGAUUUUUGGAAUGCCGCUCUGAUGGCCUAUGGCAGUGGAAUAUGUAUUGGAUUAUCCAUAAUAUACUUCAUGAUCUCAACUGGAAAUAUGAAAUGGCUUGCAAGAAUCAUUGAAGAACUGGAACACAAAAUUAACAUGCGAAAGAGAAAGAAGCAGAGAGGACAAAGGAAUUACAGAAGAAGAAAUAAUCGCAUCUACACAAGUUACCAACAAAGAAGGAUUUGAUUUCAGAACUUCAGGUAUUCAAGCUAAGCUCUACACUAAUAUUUUUUAGGUUUUAUGCUUUUUUUGUUACAAACAAGUGCUUAUUAACGUUUCAUACAAAUUGCAAGUAAUCGAUUGGAAACUGUGAUAAGGCAAAAAAUUUAUAGUUGUGUAACUCACUUUCUUAUUUUUUUUCAGCUUUUUCAGAUGCCAAGAAUAAGAAGACAUUGGCGUAAUGGAUUUGGUACUUCCUACGUUGCAGCUUAUGAUGAUGGAUUUGAUUUUUAGUUUUAUAAGCUUUUUUAAGUUGGGAAAAUGUAAUAUUAUGAAUUUUGAUGAUACACAGUAAAUGUUGUGUGUAUUGAAUGAUGUGUAUGCAUUUCUCGGAUCAAUAAUACUCACCUCAAAGAAUCUUAGAGAGCUGAAUGAAUGGAAGAAGAUAUUUAGCGCACGAUAGAAGAGAGAGAACAAACAAAGAAGAAUACGUAACAACCUAGGGCGUAACUGGUUAACUCACACCCCAAAGCAAGUUAUUAUGGUGGGAGAGACCAAGUUUUAAUUUUUUUGUGAUAAGGUUGUUGUGGAAACAGUGAGGUUGCAUACAAUACACCCUUGUGGUCCGGCCCUUCGCUUAGCCUUUUAUUAUACAAACAGGCUUACUCAAAGUAAACUGUUUUUGUCAUUUGCAUUCAUCAAUAAUGUUCCUUGUUGUGCUCGUAGCACUUUGAAACUUUCCUUUGCCAAUUGCAAUAAUGUUAGUUUGAAACAUUUGUCUGUUCUAUUUCCAGAUACAGGGGGGUAUACUAGAUAGAUCAAAGUGGGAUAAUCUAUAGGAAACAGCACUGGCAAGACAGAAUCUUGUAAAAUGACCCUAAAAAACUGGGAAGUUUCGUAUAAUCUAUUCGAGGUAGCUGAUAAUUCACAGGAUGCAUUUAAUAGCUCAACCAACUCUGGAACACAUGUUGCACAAAAUGGCCCAUUACCAGGACUAUGGUGUACUUAUGCAACAACAGGUUGCCAAUAUGACUCAAUCACAACAACAGUUACAACACGAAGCGUUAAUGAUGCAGCAGCAAAUGGCUAGUGUGCCUCUGCAACAUCAAACUGCUACUAUGACUCAACAUAAUGAAGGAGAGAUUCAAGAACAGGAAGCACAAAAUCAAGAAGAUAUAGCUGAUUGUGCCUCAAAUCAAGAUGAAGGAGAGAUUCUUGCAUCAAUGGAAAAAUAUUGGAUAUGGUCCCUACUUUAGAGAUAAGAAUUGAAAACCAGACAUGUCUGUAUCAUACAUUAAAAGUGGUCAUGACCAAUGUGUGAUAACAGAACUAUUUUUGCCACUUUGACCAAGUCCUUUGCUGAAUUAAAUGUGUAACUCAAAACAACUCAAAAUUUGACUUGAGAAUGACCACAUUUUCUCUGAUAGCAACCAAAUUUACAAAUUUGAAGAAAACGCAUUUCCUAUUCUUUUUGGGACAAGAGAUAUGUGUUUAAUUACUCUUUGCGAAAACAAUCAUAUGAAGAUUACUCCCUCUAUCUCAAUUUAUAAUGCAUAGUCUGGAUUUUCAAGAGCCAAAUAGUUUAAUUUUCACCAAAAAUUCAGGCAUGAAGUUUUUUAAAAAUUUAAAAUAAAAUUUAUAUAUUUUGAAACUACAAAAAAAGUACUCUAAGUUACAAUAACUUAUCCGCAAACCAUCUUCGGAGUGAUCGCGUGUGAAGUGAAAGAAUUGGAGUUUUUAAUAUCCAGAAACCAUCUUCAUAGGUUGAAAUAUCUUAAUCUAUCUCUAAUAAAAAAACUAUUAAUAUCCAGUUUUCAUCAAGGGUCAUUACCUAUUCCGACAAAUUCCACAAGAUACUUCAUCAUAUCAAAAAAUAAUCUCAGUGAAGAAAUUCUUUUAUUUGGAAAAUCGAUUUGAGAGUCAUUGAAAUUUAAUUUUAUCAAAAUAUUCGAGCAUGAAAAAUGUGAAACUCUUGGAGGUCUCAUAAAAAUAAAAUACCCUUUGCAACACGACUUUAUUUGGUAGAUUGAAAAAUCACCUAAUUUUUACACAUUUCAUUGACAGAUUGGCCACAUAUUAAUUUGAAUAUAUAUCAUUUAAAUUGAUUGAAUGACUUUAUACGGAAAAAUGACAAUAAUUGAGUGACUUUUCUGUCACAAAACAAAUAACAGAAAAAAUGACCUUUUGAAUAAUUGAUGAUAAUAUGAGAAGUCAAUACUGGACACCUGCUAUAUAAAUUCUCAAUAGUCAAAUUAAAGAUAAUGUAUUCUACAAAUUUAUUGGCUUAAGACGUAGAAUUGUUGGAUAUAGUCCAUUACUUAAAGAUGAAAAUGAGAACCAAACAUGUCUGUAUUAAUAUGUAAUAACAAAACUAUUUUGGCCACUUUGACUAAGUCAUUGGAUAACGGAGAAUUGUUGGCUUUUCAUUUUUUAAAAGAGCUUGAAAAUAAUUCCACACCAUCACUAUCUAACGAAAAUAUAACUUGAAUUGAUUAAGUGACUUUAUACGUGAAAUGACAAUAAUUAAGUAAUUUUUAUGUAACAAACCAAAGAAAAGUGAAUUUCCGAAUAAUUGAGUGAUUAUGUGAAAAAUCAACUCUUGACAUCUACUACAUGAAUUAGAGAUAUUGUAGCCUAGUGUUUUAUUGAUCUAAAACUGAAAAUUAAUGGAUAUAAUCCACUACUUUAGAGAUAAGAAUUGAGAACUAGACAUGUUUGUAUCAUACGUUAAAAGUGGUCAUGACCGAUGUCUAAUAACAAAACUAUUUUGGCCACUCUGACUAAGUCCUUGACUGAAACAACUCAAAAUUUGGCUUGAGAAUGACCAUAUUUUCUCUGAUAGCAACCAAAUUUGCAAAUUUAAAGGAAACGUGUUUCCUAUUAAUCAUCAAUUUAUUUUAAUUUUCUUCUUGGGACCAGAGAAAUGUAUUUAAUUAUUCUUUGAGGAAACAAUCUUAUGAAACUUACUCCCUCUAUCUCAAUUUAUAAUGCAUUGUUUGAAUUUUCAAGAGCCAUCCUUCAAUUGUUAUCGUAAAUUCAAGCAUGCAGUCUUUAAAUUUUUAAAAUAAAAUUUAUAUAUUUAAAACUACAUAAAAAAUACUAUAAGUCAUAAUAAUUGAUCCACAAACCAUCUUCUAAGUGAUCGCGUUUAAAGUAAAGAAUUAGAGUUUUUAAUAUUCAAAAACCAUCCUCGGAGGUUGACAUAGCUUAAUAUAUCUCUAAUAAAACACUAUUAAGAAAUCCCUUUUAUAUAUUUGUAAACUCGAUUUGAGAGUCAUUAAAAUUUAAAUUUAUCAAAAUAUUCGAGCAUGAGAAAGCCUUUGCAAUAUGACUUUAUUAGGCAUAUUGAAAAAUCACCAAAUUUUUACACAUUUCAUUCAAAUUGAGAUGACGUUAGUUCAAGUAGGGAAAAUACAUAACUUAUUAUUCGAAUGUAAAACUCACAAAAAAAAAAAGUGAUAUUCACAUAUAUUUUUCACCAUUAUCUCAUAAUUUUCUUUAUUCAUUUUUCAAAAGUUCCACAUCAUGAGACAUCAACAUCUAGCAGAUCCCAACAAAAUAAAACACCCUUCUCAACACGGCUAAGACAGAUUGAAAAAUGACAACAUUUUCUAAAAGACAAAAACAAACAACCCAAAUUUGUAACAAAGACACUACGAAUCAUGGUAACGUCUAAGACUGAGAAUUGUUGGAUAUGAUCUACUACUGUAGAGAUGAGAAUUGAGAACCAAUGUAGAGAUGAGAAUUGAGAACCAAACAUGUUUGUAUCAUACAUUAAAAGUGGUCAUGACCGAUGUCUGAUAACAAAACUAUUUUGGCCACUUUUGACUAAGUCCUUGACUGAAACAACUCAAAAUUUGACUUGAGAACCUCUAUCUCAAUUUAUAAUGUAUAGUUUGAAUUUUCAAGAGCCAAAUCCUUUAAUUUUUAUCAGAAAUUCAGGCAUGAAGUCUUUAAAUUGUUAAAAUAAAAUUUAUAUAUUUAAAAACUACGUAAAAAGUACAAUAAGUCAUAAUAAUUAAUCCGCAAACCAUCUUCUAACUGGUCGCGUUUAAAGGGAAAGAAUUAGAUUUUUUUAUAUUCACAAACCAUCCUCAAAGGUUGAGAUAUCUUAAUCUAUCUCUAAUAAAAUACUUUUAAUUUGCGAUCCAAUUUUCUUCAAGGGUCAUUACCUAUUCUAACAAAUUCCACAAGAUACUUCAUAUCAAAAAAUAAUCCGAGUGAAGAAAUUCCUUUUAUAUAUUUGUAAAAUCGAUUUGAGUCAUUGAAAUUUAAUUUUAUCAAAAUAUUCGGGCAUGAGAAAUUUGAAACUCUUGGAGGUCUCAUAAAAUAAAAUACCCUUUGCAAUACGACUUUAUUAGGCGGAUUGAAAAAUCACCUAAUUAUUCGGUAAAUGCUUUAGCACUCUUUGUUAAUGUUUAUAUUUUAUUGCCGCUAAAAAUCAUUUUUGUUAUAUUGGGAAGAAAUUAAAUUUUUGUUUGGUUAUUAUCAUUUAUAACGUAAGAUUUAUAUUGAUACUUAAUGUACUUACUAGAUUUUUUAGCAAUUUUUUUAAACGUAACUUGCAACAUUAAAUUAAAUCCAUAUUUAUUAGUAUAAUCUUACAUUUGAAUUGUGAAUUUGACUUUUAAAUUUUAUAAGACAAAUUACAUUAAUUACAUAAUUAAACAGUCGUAUUUAGUUUGAGUUAUUUUAAGGUUGUCAGUAGUUUAGAAAUGAAACUAAUAAUUCGCGUCGAAUUUACGAGUGUCUUUAAUACUUUUCUCUAAAAAAAUUGUAUGAUAUAGUCUGAAAUUAAAUUAAUAUAUACAAGUAUUCAAAUUCCUAUAGAGUGCAAAAUAAAAUUUCAAUAAGAAAAAAUAAUAUUGGAUUUAAUGGUAUGAAAAAAUAAAAUUGGAUUUAAUAGAUAUAAAAUGAAAAUAUUAUAUUGGGAAAAUGCACAAGUACCCCCAACCUAUGCCCGAAAUCCCAGAGACACUUAUACUAUAGUAAGGUCCUAUUACCCCCCCCCCGCCCACCCUUAUUUUAUAAAUAAUUUUCUAUUCCUUUUGGGUUUAUGUGGCACUAUCAACUAGAUAGCUUGAAAAAAUUGUCAACACGCGCUAGGCCCAGAAGAUAGUGCCACGUAGACCAAAAAGGGGUAGAAAAUUAUUUAUAUAAUAAGUUUGGAGGGGGGGGGGGAGUAAUAGGACCUUAGUGUAGUAUAAGUGUCUGAAAUUUCGAGCAUAGGUUGGGGGGGGGGGGUACUUAUGCAUUUUCCCCAUUAUAUUAUGAACAACAAUAGUAGCCGAAACAUAAAUAAAUUCCAUGCCUAUUAAAGCAUAAUAAUUGACAUGACAAUUUUACUGUUCUAUCCAUAUUAACUACGUAAUGUUUAAUAUUAAAUCUUGAAAAGUGUAAAAAUGAACAAGGAGAGUAAAUCAUAAUUCAAAUUGUUAACCUGUGCGCAGCACGGGCGUUCUUCAUCUAGUUCAAAUAUAGUUUUUGACCAUUUAUUAUGUCUUAAUUUUCUUUGCUCUUUCAUUUAUUUGGCUAUUCAUUUUUCAAAAGUUCCACAUCAUCAGACAACAAUAUCUAGCAGGUCCAUAAAAAAAAUAACACCCUUCUCAACACGGCUAAGAUAGAUUGAAAAAUAACAAUAUUUUCUCAAAGACAGAAACAAAACAACCCAAAUUUCCAACAAAGACAUAACGAAUCAUCGUAACAUCUAACACUGAGAAUUGUUGGAUAUGGUCCACUACUGUAGAGAUGAGAAUUGAGAACUACACAUGUCUGUAUCAUACACUAAGAGUGGUCAUAAUCAAUUUGUGAUAACAAAACUAUUUUGGCCACUUUGAUUAAGUCCUUGCCUGAAUUAGACCUCAAACACAAAACAAUCCAAAAUUUGACAAGAGAAUGACAACAUUUUUUCCUCUGAUAGCAGCCAAAUUAGCAAAUUUGGAAAAAAUGUGUUUUCUGUUGGUCUUUAAUUAGUAUAAGUUACGUACAAUAUCAAAUCCUAUGAAUCCGAAACAAUAAACUCAAAAUAUGAUGAUGGUUUCUAGCAAAACAUUCUCUUCCCUUCAGUUUUUCACUCUUUUGUACCUCUUUACAGUUACUUUUGCUUCCACUGAUGAAGCAACUGCCCUCUUGAAAUGGAAAGCAACUUUCAAGAACCAGAAUAAUUUUGUAUUGGCUUCAUGGACGCCAAGUUUUAAUGCAUGCACGGACUGGUAUGGAGUUAUAUGCUUUAAUGGGAGGGUAAACACGUUGAAUAUUACAGAUUCUAGUGUCAUUGGUACACUCUAUGCUUUCCGUUUUCAUCCCUCCCUUUUCUUGAAAAUCUUGAUCUUAGCAUGAACAAUUUCUCGGGCACCAUUCCACCUGAGAUUGGUAAUCUCACUAAUCUCGUCUUUCUUAACUUGAAAAUCAAUCAGUUUUCAGGAACAAUCCCACAACAAAUCGGUUCACUAGCCAAGCUUCAGAUCCUCCGUAUAUUUGACAACCAUUU